GUUAAUCGGAAUUACUGGGCGUAAAGCGUACGUAGGUGGUUUGUUAAGUUGGAUGUGAAAGCCCAGGGCUCAACCUUGGAACUGCAUUCAAAACUGGCGAACUAGAGUAUGGUAGAGGUGAGUGGAAUUUCCUGUGUAGCGGUGAAAUGCGUAGAGAUGGGAAGGAACAUCAGUGGCGAAGGCGACUCACUGGACCAAUACUGACACUGAGGUACGAAAGCGUGGGUAGCAAACAGGAUUAGAUACCCUGGUAGUCCACGCCGUAAACGAUGUCUACUAGCCGUUGGGGUCCUUGAGACUUUAGUGGCGCAGCUAACGCACUAAGUAGACCGCCUGGGGAGUACGGUCGCAAGAUUAAAACUCAAAUGAAUUGACGGGGGCCCGCACAAGCGGUGGAGCAUGUGGUUUAAUUCGAAGCAACGCGAAGAACCUUACCUACUCUUGACAUCCAGAGAAUUUAGCAGAGAUGCUUUAGUGCCUUCGGGAACUCUGAGACAGGUGCUGCAUGGCU
This 511-nucleotide ribosomal RNA is filed under the name uncultured Gammaproteobacteria bacterium. RNAcentral's name for it is "bacterial SSU rRNA". It matches the Rfam family "Bacterial small subunit ribosomal RNA", at positions 540 to 1050 of the family's 1533-position model. RNAcentral also lists the same sequence under 1 other name. The record is from RNAcentral. Lineage: Bacteria; Pseudomonadati; Pseudomonadota; Gammaproteobacteria.